UGCUGUCAAUGGUAGGAAUGGAUGAUGA
This 28-nucleotide non-coding RNA is filed under the name Macaca fascicularis (crab-eating macaque). Lineage: Eukaryota; Metazoa; Chordata; Mammalia; Primates; Cercopithecidae. The record is from RNAcentral. RNAcentral also lists the same sequence under 1 other name.